UUUCCGUAGGUGAACCUGCGGAAGGAUCAUUAAAAAAUUGGACUCCAUUGGUGAGUUCAUUAAUAAUCCCUACCCUUUGUGAAUUUGUUUGUUUGAAUAAUUUUUUUUCCAAAAAAAAUUAUUGAAUGUCUUUCCUUGUUUUGGUGGAGCUUGUAAAGUGAAACCAGGCAGGGGAAUGGCAAACAAUAAUUAUUUUUGAAAAAGACCUUUUUUUAAAAUUAAACUUUUUGUAUUCAUUUGUCUAAAAUUAAUUUUUAUAAUAUAAAAACAACUUUUGACAAUGGAUCUCUUGGUUCUCGCAACGAUGAAGAACGCAGCAAAAUGCGAUAAGUAGUGUGAAUUGCAGAAUACGUGAAUCAUCGAAUCUUCGAACGCAUAUUGCACUUUUUUAGUUUACUAAAAAAGUAUGUCUGUUUGAGUAUCAGUAAAAUAUUCUCAUAAAAAACAUUGUUUUUUUUAUGGUUAUGAGUGUUUUACAACGAUAACAAGUUGUUUCACUUUAAAUUCUUUGUUAUCAAAAAAAUCACUAAAAGCUAAUUUUAAAGAUUUUUUAAAAUUGGAUAAAAUUUUCCCGUAAAAAGGAAUAACCUAAACAAUUUAAAAAAAUUAAAAUUGGUUUGAUUUUUUUUGAAACCCAAAGGAAAAAAAAACGAAAUUAACUUGAUCUCAAAUCAGAUAAGAGUACCCGCUGAACUUAAGCAUAUCAAUAAGCGGAGGAAAAGAAACUAACUAGGAUUCCCUCAGUAACGGCGAGUGAAGCGGGAAGAGCUCAAAUUUGAGAUCUUCAAGGUUUUACCUUGACGAAUUGUAGUUUAAAGAAGUGUUUUCUGUUGGAGUUUUGGUAAAAGUUCUUUGGAAAAGGACAUCAUAGAGGGUGAGAAUCCCGUAUUUGACCAUUAUCUCCAGCUUUGUGAUACACUUUCAAAGAGUCGGAUUGUUUGGGAAUGCAGUCCAAAAUGGGUGGUAAAUUUCAUCUAAAGCUAAAUACUGGCGAGAGACCGAUAGCGAACAAGUACCGUGAGGGAAAGAUGAAAAGAACUUUGAAAAGAGAGUUAAACAGUACGUGAAAUUGUCAAAAGGGAAGCGUUUGACACCAGUGUUGUUUUCUCGAAAAUCAAUUAAAAAAGGCCGGAUUUUGUGUUGUAUUGACUUUAUCAGCUUUCUGCACUCUUUUCUUGUCUUUUUUAAUGCACUUUUCGUUUAACAAGUCAACAUCAAUUUCUUUUGUUGUAAAAGGGUCAUUGGAAGGUGGCUUUCUUUUCGGAGAAAGUGUUUAUAGCCUUUGGCCUCUGCAAUCGGAGAGAUUGAGGUCUGCAGCGUAGAUCCUUCGGGGUUAGAUACAUUUGUGCUAAGUUAUAGCCUUUCAUAGACAACUUGUUGACUAUGAUCAGUCAUGUAGCUUACUCGCUUAUGCUAUUU
Molecule: unclassified non-coding RNA, 1419 nt
Filed under: uncultured Neocallimastigales
Lineage: Eukaryota; Fungi; Neocallimastigomycota; Neocallimastigomycetes; Neocallimastigales
Description: partial contains small subunit ribosomal RNA, internal transcribed spacer 1, 5.8S ribosomal RNA, internal transcribed spacer 2, and large subunit ribosomal RNA
Rfam family: Eukaryotic large subunit ribosomal RNA (bases 662-1419)
Source: RNAcentral